RNAcentral lists this long non-coding RNA (1070 nucleotides) under Ananas comosus (pineapple). Its description in RNAcentral is "long non-coding RNA (ACOM_LNC001874)". The record is from RNAcentral. Lineage: Eukaryota; Viridiplantae; Streptophyta; Magnoliopsida; Poales; Bromeliaceae.
UACCAGGGAGUUUAAUUUUGUUUCUUCAAAGGUUUUGCUAUUAAUUACAUGAUAUUUCACUUAAUUACGACAUGAUUUAUCUUAUUCUAAAAAAAUAAUUUGAAGGCCGAAGAUGAUAUUUCAUUUCAAAUCUUUGAUCAUACUCCUUAUUUAUCAAAUAUAUAAAUUUCUUGAGUAAUUAAGAAAAUAUGCUGAAUAAGAUGUUCACACAUCGAAAUAGGGCCUAAAUGAAAGAGUUCAAUGUGCUGAACAAAAUAUUCGUACAUACAGACAGAGCCUUAUUCAUACAUCCAAAUAAAGCUUGAGGCCUUAUUUGGAUGUAGGAAAGUUAUUCAGUGAUAUUCUAUUCGGUAUAAAUUUCUUUAUUAUUAUUACAUGUACAGAAUAGAAUAGUAUAUUNCUAAUUUAUUAUUAAUAAAUAUUAAUAAUAAUUAUAAUAAUUAGAUAAUCAAUGUUAUUAUUAAUAAAAAUUAGAUAAUCGAUAUUAUUAUUAAUUUAUUAUUUAUAAUUAAUUAAUAAUAAUAAUUAAUAAUUAUUAUUUUUAUUAAUAAUUAUUAUCAACAAUUAGAUAAUUGAUAUUAUUAAUUUAUUAUUUAUAAUUAAUUAUAAAUAAUUAUUUAUUUAUUUAUUUUUAAGUAAUAUUUUGAUGUUAAUUAAUUAUAUAAUAUAAUUUUAAUUUCAAAUUAUAACUCUUAUUCCUCUUAUUCCAAUCUUACCAUCGAAAAAAUACUAUUUAUCUUAUUCCUAAAAAGAAUCCAAUUUUAAUCCAAACAAAAAUUUGGUCUAAAUCCUGCUUAUACCUGAACUUGUACCUAUCCCUGUAACAAGCAGUUCUUACUUAUAUCCGAACCAAACGCAGCCAAAGUGCGUAUAUUCAUAAUCGAUACAAGUUCACAUUCAAACGAACAAGAAUUUAAACCUCGUGGGAUAGUUCUAUUGUGCCCUAAGAGUGUAUGCUUGCGACGAAUAUGUUUUCGCAAUCAAACGAGCUAAUAUUGAGACAUCAUUAGACUAUUUUACUACACCCAAAGUAUGUAUAUUUAUAACCGAUACAAGUUCAUAUUCAAACG